RNAcentral lists this transfer RNA (22 nucleotides) under Impatiens disotis. RNAcentral's name for it is "partial tRNA-Leu". Lineage: Eukaryota; Viridiplantae; Streptophyta; Magnoliopsida; Ericales; Balsaminaceae. The record is from RNAcentral.
GGUUCAAGUCCCUUGAUCCCCA